RNAcentral lists this ribosomal RNA (1676 nucleotides) under Bolinichthys distofax. RNAcentral's name for it is "16S rRNA". It matches the Rfam family "Bacterial large subunit ribosomal RNA". The record is from RNAcentral. Lineage: Eukaryota; Metazoa; Chordata; Actinopteri; Myctophiformes; Myctophidae.
UCCCAAAAAGCUAGCCCGCCCUCUAACUGAACAACCCCCUUUAAAUUUAAACCCCUAGCGAAUAGAAAACAAACCAUUUAACCUCCCCAGUACCCGGGCGACAGAAAAGGAAAACCGGAGCAAUAGAAAAAGUACCGCAAGGGAAAGCUGAAAGAGAAAUGAAACAACUACCCCCAGCUACAGAAAGCAGAGAUUACCUCUCGUACCUUUUGCAUCAUGACCUAGCCAGUAUGACUGAGCACAGAGUACUUUAGUUCAGACCCCCGAAACUAGACGAGCUACUUCAAGACAGCCUAUGUUGGGCAAACCCGUCUCUGUCGCAAAAGAGUGGGAAGAUCUUCAAGUAGAGGUGACAAACCUAUCGAGCCUAGUUAUAGCUGGUUGUCUGAGAAGUGUAUAUUAGUUCAGCCUCCCGACUCCCCCCAUCACCGACACCACUGUCACCUAAGACUAAGGGCGACCGGCAGAGUUAGUCAAAGAGGGUACAGCCCCUUUGAAAAAGGACACAACCUCCACAGGAGAUAAAAGAUCAUAACUAUUUAAGGACACUUGUUUUAGUGGGCCUAAAAGCAGCCACCUAAGAAGAAAGCGUUAAAGCUCAUGCAAACUCCUACCCCCAAUACCGAACCAAACUCUUCACUCCCUAAGCACUACCAGACCGUCCCAUAUACCCUGGGAGAGACCCUGCUAGAAUGAGUAACAAGAGGGGACCGCCCCUCUCCCCCCACACAUGUGUAAGUCGGAACGGACCGGCCGCCGACAACUAACGAAUCCCCCCUCAGAGGGAAGUGUAAAACCUCCUAAAUAGCCAGAGAACCUAACACGACUGCUCGUUGACCCAACACAGGUGUGUACACCCGGAAAGACCCAAAUAAAGGGAAGGAACUCGGCAAACACAAGCCUCGCCUGUUUACCAAAAACAUCGCCUCUUGCAAAACGAACGAAUAAGAGGUCCCGCCUGCCCUGUGACUAUAUGUUUAACGGCCGCGGUAUUUUGACCGUGCGAAGGUAGCGCAAUCACUUGUCUCUUAAAUGGAGACCUGUAUGAAAGGCACCACGAGGGCUUGACUGUCUCCCCUUUAAAGUCAGUGAAAUUGAUCUCCCCGUGCAGAAGCGGGGAUUUACUCGUAAGACGAGAAGACCCUAUGGAGCUUAAGAUAUAAAGCGGCCCAAGUCAAGAACCCCUUUAAAGGAUACGAACAAUAUGGACCUCCGCCGAAAUAUCUUCGGUUGGGGCGACCGCGGGGAAAGACUAAACCCCCACAUGGACCGGGGCCACAAUAGCCUCAAAACCUAGACCCACAGGUCAAAACAACAGUACUUCUGACCACCAAAGAGCCGGCAAUGCCGAUCGACGGACCGAGUUACCCUAGGGAUAACAGCGCAAUCCCCUCCCAGAGCCCUUAUCGACGAGGGGGUUUACGACCUCGAUGUUGGAUCAGGACAUCCUAAUGGCGCAGCCGCUAUUAAGGGUUCGUUUGUUCAACGAUUAACAGUCCUACGUGAUCUGAGUUCAGACCGGAGUAAUCCAGGUCAGUUUCUAUCUACGUAUUGAUCUUUUCUAGUACGAAAGGACCGAAAAGAAGCGGCCUCUGCCUAUAGCACGCCCCACCCCCAACUAAUGAACACAAAUAAAAUAGAAGGGGGACAAAAUCCCACGCCCGAAAGCAGGGCAA